AAUGGGAUGGCUGAUAAAAGUGAUAAAUUGUAAAUUUAUAUAUGAUUAAAAUAAUCUCCCAUUA
Molecule: transfer RNA, 64 nt
Filed under: Ectopsocopsis cryptomeriae
Lineage: Eukaryota; Metazoa; Arthropoda; Insecta; Psocodea; Ectopsocidae
Description: tRNA-Tyr
Source: RNAcentral